RNAcentral lists this ribosomal RNA (537 nucleotides) under uncultured Nitrospira sp. RNAcentral's name for it is "bacterial SSU rRNA". It matches the Rfam family "Bacterial small subunit ribosomal RNA", at positions 355 to 897 of the family's 1533-position model. Lineage: Bacteria; Pseudomonadati; Nitrospirota; Nitrospiria; Nitrospirales; Nitrospiraceae. The record is from RNAcentral.
UAAGGAAUAUUGCGCAAUGGGCGAAAGCCUGACGCAGCGACGCCGCGUGGGGGAUGAAGGUCUUCGGAUUGUAAACCCCUUUCGGGAGGGAAGAUGGAACGAGUAAUCGUUCGGACGGUACCUCCAGAAGCAGCCACGGCCAACUUCGUGCCAGCAGCCGCGGUAAUACGAAGGUGGCAAGCGUUGUUCGGAUUCACUGGGCGUACAGGGUGUGUAGGCGGUUUGGUAAGCCUUCUGUUAAAGCUUCGGGCCCAACCCGGAAAGCGCAGAGGGUACUGCCAGGCUAGAGGGCGGGAGAGGAGCGCGGAAUUCCCGGUAUAGCGGUGAAAUGCGUAGAGAUCGGGAGGAAGGCCGGUGGCGAAGGCGGCGCUCUGGAACGUACCUGACGCUGAGACACGAAAGCGUGGGGAGCAAACAGGAUUAGAUACCCUGGUAGUCCACGCCCUAAACUAUGGAUACUAAGUGUCGGCGGGUUACCGCCGGUGCCGCAGCUAACGCAUUAAGUAUCCCGCCUGGGAAGUACGGCCGCAAGGUUGC